RNAcentral lists this long non-coding RNA (886 nucleotides) under Aotus nancymaae (Ma's night monkey). Its description in RNAcentral is "lncRNA (ENSANAG00000039536.1)". Lineage: Eukaryota; Metazoa; Chordata; Mammalia; Primates; Aotidae. The record is from RNAcentral.
ACACUUCCUUUGUAGUACUUGAUGUUCCAGUGCUAAUUUUCUGUGUGGCUUUUUUUUCUGGUUAUAGGUCAGUCCUGUAAUUUCCUCCAUUUGUUCCCCCGCCUCUACCAAAAGUGACCCAUUUGAACUCGAGAUAGCUGCUCCAGUGUAUUCCAGACAGAGGCAUCUUCCUGUCUUACAUCUGAAUACCGUCUGCUCACUCAAAGAUAACCACUUGACAGCGUGCUCUGAUAUUAAAUUCUUGGGGAAAGGAAAAGGUUUUGCUUGAGAUCUCAGAAUGCCAAUGCUGUUGUAAGCCUACAUGAAAUCCUGGCUACAAGCGCCUGCUCACACACCGGUUGUGUAUCUGCUGGGUCAGAGUCACAGAAUUCCACCUGGAGCUGUCAUUCACUCUACAUCAACUGAAAAUACUUGAGAACCUUCUCUUGCACUCUUUCCCUUUCCUAACAGUUUCAUACAUAAUCUAUGGGUAAUUCUACAGCACUUUUUUCUUAAAUGACUGAGUAUAUCUCUGAUCAGGAUGUAGCAAUCACAGAAUAAUAAGCAUAAUCACAUCAAGGAAGAUUUUGUUGCUUUGUCUGUGGAAAAUGCCUAUGGGAACCUGCACCUGCUCCAAAUCUGGAAAUGCUUUCAGGAUGUCAAAUAUCAAUUGUCAUUGACUUCCAAUGAACCUUUUCUGAAAACAGAAUUAAUGCAGUUUCCUUGAAAUAUUAUCUCAUUUGGCUUGUACAUAGUCACCUUGAAUUGUUUUAUGAGGUGGGGGUGGGGGGGAUAUAUAUCACAGAAAUAAAAAAAUUAAAAUGAAGAUUUUUGUGAAUCAUUUUUCCAGUUUAGAGAACAAUUAUUUUGAGAGAUGGCUUUUUAAAGAAAUAACUUGUAUAUAUUU